Molecule: ribosomal RNA, 240 nt
Filed under: uncultured bacterium
Lineage: Bacteria
Description: partial 16S ribosomal RNA
Rfam family: Bacterial small subunit ribosomal RNA
Source: RNAcentral
UACGAGGGUGCAAGCGUUAUUCGGAAUAACUGGGCGUAAAGAGCGCGUAGGCGGCUUGUUAAGUCUGUUGUUAAAGUGCCCGGCUCAACCGGGAAUAGGCAAUAGAAACUGGCGAGCUAGAGGACAAGAGAGAGAAGUGGGAAUUCUCGGAGUAGCGGUAAAAUGCGUAGAUCUCGAGAGGAACACCGAUGGCGAAGGCAGCUUCUUGGCUUCGUAUCUGACGCUCAAGUGCGAAAGCGU